AGCGAACGCUGGCGGCAGGCCUAACACAUGCAAGUCGAACGAACUCUUCGGAGUUAGUGGCGGACGGGUGAGUAACACGUGGGAACGUGCCUUUUGGUUCGGAAUAACUCAGGGAAACUUGUGCUAAUACCGAAUGUGCCCUUCGGGGGAAAGAUUUAUCGCCAUUAGAGCGGCCCGCGUCUAAUUAGCUAGUUGGUGAGGUAACGGCUCACCAAGGCGACGAUCAGUAGCUGGUCUGAGAGGAUGACCAGCCACACUGGGACUGAGACACGGCCCAGACUCCUACGGGAGGCAGCAGUGGGGAAUCUUGCGCAAUGGGCGAAAGCCUGACGCAGCCAUGCCGCGUGAAUGAUGAAGGUCUUAGGAUUGUAAAAUUCUUUCACCGGGGACGAUAAUGACGGUACCCGGAGAAGAAGCCCCGGCUAACUUCGUG
RNAcentral lists this ribosomal RNA (433 nucleotides) under uncultured bacterium. RNAcentral's name for it is "partial 16S ribosomal RNA". It matches the Rfam family "Bacterial small subunit ribosomal RNA", at positions 29 to 507 of the family's 1533-position model. The record is from RNAcentral.